Molecule: long non-coding RNA, 286 nt
Organism: Halichondria panicea
Lineage: Eukaryota; Metazoa; Porifera; Demospongiae; Suberitida; Halichondriidae
Exons: 2
Source: RefSeq, a predicted model, not a curated record
ACGUCAGAUAAAAAUACAAUCGACCUAAGAAACAGACUGAACACCAGCCCCCGGCAUGUAUCAUGAGGGACGCUGUACAGAGAUGUUAGGGCAAGUUCCUUUAAUUAGAUCGAGAUAUUGUAAUUAUUUCCUUCUUCCAGGUUGUCGGUCGCUAAAUGUGCUUAUAGUUGCCAUGGAGAUGGAGAUGGUAAUUGACUGAAGUCAUGUACCUACCUCUCGAUAGAAGGAAACAAGGAUUUGUCAAUAAUUAUAGUACUGUGAUAAAUAAAUGUUUUGUCAACUUCGA